UGAUUAUGGCUCAGAGUGAACGCUGGCGGCGUGCUUAACACAUGCAAGUCGAACGAGAACGGAUUAAAGCUUGCUUUAAUUGUCAGCUAAGUGGCGCACGGGUGAGUAGUAUAUAGUUAACCUGCCUCAAAGAAGGGAAUAAUUGUUGGAAACGACUUGUAACGCCCUAUAUGCCUUUAAGUCAUAAGACUGCAAGGGAAACAUUUAUGGCUUUGAGAUGGGACUGUACGGUAUCAGUUAGUUGGUGGGGUAAUGGCUUACCAAGACAAUGACGCCUAACUGGUUUGAGAGGAUGAUCAGUCACACUGGAACUGAGACACGGUCCAGACUCCUACGGGAGGCAGCAGUGGGGAAUAUUGCACAAUGGGGGAAACCCUGAUGCAGCAACGCCGCGUGGAGGAUGACACAUUUCGGUGCGUAAACUCCUUUUAUAUAAGAAGAUAAUGACGGUAUUAUAUGAAUAAGCACCGGCUAACUCCGUGCCAGCAGCCGCGGUAAUACGGGGGGUGCAAGCGUUACUCGGAAUCACUGGGCGUAAAGAGCAUGUAGGCUGGUAGAAAAGUUGGAAGUGAAAUC
Molecule: ribosomal RNA, 576 nt
Filed under: uncultured bacterium
Lineage: Bacteria
Description: bacterial SSU rRNA
Rfam family: Bacterial small subunit ribosomal RNA
Source: RNAcentral